AGAGAGAGACAUGCGCGCAUAUCAAUAAGCGGAGGAAAAGAAACUAACAAGGAUUCCCUUAGUAACGGCGAGUGAAGCGGGAAGAGCUCAAAUUUGAAAUCUUCAAGGUUUUACCUUGACGAAUUGUAGUUUAAAGAAGUGUUUUCUGCUGAAGUUUUGGUAAAAGUUCUUUGGAAUAGGACAUCAUAGAGGGUGGAGAAUCCCGUAUUUGACCAUUAUUUUCAGCUUUGUGAUACACUUUCAAAGAGUCGGAUUGUUUGGGAAUGCAGUCCAAAAUGGGUGGUAAAUUUCAUCUAAAGCUAAAUACUGGCGAGAGACCGAUAGCGAACAAGUACCGUGAGGGAAAGAUGAAAAGAACUUUGAAAAGAGAGUUAAACAGUACGUGAAAUUGUCAAAAGGGAAGCGUUUGACACCAGUGUUGUUUUCUCGAAAAUCAAUUAAAAAUGGCUCGAUUUUGUAUUGCUGAGACCUUAAAAGCUCACUGUACAUUUUUCGUGUCUUUUUUAAUGCACUUUUCGUUUAACAAGUCAACAUCAGUUUCUUUUGUUGUAAAAGGGUCAUUGGAAGGUGGCUUUCUUUUCGGAGAAAGUGUUUAUAGCCUUUGGCCUCUGCAAUCGGAGAGACUGAGGUCUGCAGCGUAGACUCUUCGGGGUUAGAUACAUUUGUGCUAAGUUAUAGCUUUUUAUAGACAACUUGUUGACUAUAAUUAGUCUUGUAGCUUACUCGCUUAUGCUAUUUUACCUACGCUUAGGAUGUUGAAGAUGUAGCACAUCAU
RNAcentral lists this ribosomal RNA (775 nucleotides) under uncultured Neocallimastigales. RNAcentral describes it as "partial large subunit ribosomal RNA". It matches the Rfam family "Eukaryotic large subunit ribosomal RNA", at positions 23 to 634 of the family's 3401-position model. Lineage: Eukaryota; Fungi; Neocallimastigomycota; Neocallimastigomycetes; Neocallimastigales. The record is from RNAcentral.